GUAGUUAGUUUAACUAAAACAAAUGAUUUCGACUCAUUAAAUUAUGAUAAAUACAUCAUAACUACCAA
RNAcentral lists this transfer RNA (68 nucleotides) under Habromys schmidlyi. RNAcentral's name for it is "tRNA-Arg". The record is from RNAcentral. Lineage: Eukaryota; Metazoa; Chordata; Mammalia; Rodentia; Cricetidae.